UACGAAGGGGGCAAGCGUUGUUCGGAAUUACUGGGCGUAAAGGGCGCGUAGGCGGCUUAUCAAGUCAGGCGUGAAAUUCCCGGGCUCAACCUGGGGGCUGCGCUUGAUACUGAUGAGCUUGAAUGCGGGAGAGGAUCGUGGAAUUCCCAGUGUAGAGGUGAAAUUCGUAGAUAUUGGGAAGAACACCGGUGGCGAAGGCGGCUAUCUGGCCCGUAAUUGACGCUGAGGCGCGAAAGCGCGGGGAGCAAACAGG
This 253-nucleotide ribosomal RNA is filed under the name uncultured bacterium. RNAcentral's name for it is "partial 16S ribosomal RNA". It matches the Rfam family "Bacterial small subunit ribosomal RNA", at positions 524 to 776 of the family's 1533-position model. The record is from RNAcentral.